Molecule: transfer RNA, 70 nt
Filed under: Marmota monax (woodchuck)
Lineage: Eukaryota; Metazoa; Chordata; Mammalia; Rodentia; Sciuridae
Description: tRNA.Ala
Source: RNAcentral
GGGCUGGGGCUCAGGGGUAGAGUGCUCGCCUAGCAUGUGUGAGGCCCUGGGUUCAAUUUUCAGCACCACA